This 513-nucleotide long non-coding RNA is filed under the name Mytilus galloprovincialis (Mediterranean mussel). Lineage: Eukaryota; Metazoa; Mollusca; Bivalvia; Mytilida; Mytilidae. The record is from RNAcentral.
UAUUGCACUAGUGCAAUAUUAAAAUUUAUUGCACGCUAACUUUUGGUUACUUUCUGUGGGAAAUAUUAUAUUGCUAUACAAUAAUAACAUAUAUUACUCUUAGAUGCAUAUGUUUUUUUAAAUACAUGUAGUUAUUAUUGGCUGUGAACUAGCUGUCAGUAAUUUUUUGAAUAAUCUUAGAUCUGUACUUAGUGUCUUUGUUGUGGGGAUGUAUAAUUAGUCGACCACGUUCACUCUGUAUCUUUUUUUAUUUGCAUUUCUAUUUGUAUCCAUUGAUGAGAUGUGCCCUUUUCAACUGAUUUUUAUAUUUAAUUCUUAUGUUGUACUGUUAAAACACUGUCCUGGAUUAUUGGGAGGGUUGGCAUCACUUUCUGUAUGUUCCUGUCCUAAGCUGUGUAACAUAUUUGUUUUUCGUUCAUUGUUUGGUACUAAGGUUAGGUCGUUAGUUUUUCUCUUUUGAAUUGUUUUACAGUUUUUUAAAACGGUGCCUUUAAAACUGAAAAUUCUCUGUCA